GGGGAAUAUUGCACAAUGGGCGAAAGCCUGAUGCAGCAACGCCGCGUGAGGGAUGACGGCCUUCGGGUUGUAAACCUCUUUUAGUAGGGAAGAAGCGAAAGUGACGGUACCUGCAGAAAAAGCACCGGCUAACUACGUGCCAGCAGCCGCGGUAAUACGUAGGGUGCAAGCGUUGUCCGGAAUUAUUGGGCGUAAAGAGCUCGUAGGCGGCUUGUCGCGUCUGCUGUGAAAUCCCGAGGCUCAACCUCGGGCUUGCAGUGGGUACGGGCAGGCUAGAGUGCGGUAGGGGAGAUUGGAAUUCCUGGUGUAGCGGUGGAAUGCGCAGAUAUCAGGAGGAACACCGAUGGCGAAGGCAGAUCUCUGGGCCGCUACUGACGCUGAGGAGCGAAAGCAUGGGGAGCGAAC
This 405-nucleotide ribosomal RNA is filed under the name uncultured bacterium. Its description in RNAcentral is "bacterial SSU rRNA". It matches the Rfam family "Bacterial small subunit ribosomal RNA", at positions 356 to 773 of the family's 1533-position model. The record is from RNAcentral.